UACGUGGGGGGCGAGCGUUGUCCGGAUUUACUGGGUGUAAAGGGUGCUCAGGCGGGUCUGUAAGUCAGGGGUGAAAUCCCAGAGCUCAACUCUGGAACCGCCUUUGAUACUGCAGAUCUCGAGUUUGGGAGAGGCGAGUGGAAUAUCUGGUGUAGCAGUGAAAUGCGUAGAUAUCAGAUAGAACACCAAUGGCGAAGGCAGCUCGCUGGCCCAAUACUGACGCUAAAGCACGAAAGCGUGGGGAGCAAACAGG
Molecule: ribosomal RNA, 253 nt
Filed under: uncultured bacterium
Lineage: Bacteria
Description: partial 16S ribosomal RNA
Rfam family: Bacterial small subunit ribosomal RNA
Source: RNAcentral